UGCAUACAUACAUACAUAAUCUACAUUGCACAUAUUCAUAAUUCUUUCUCUGUUUCUUUGAGUCGUUGUUUACUUACUUGAUUCCUUAAUUCUUUAUCUGAUUGUUUGCUUGCUUUACUCCUUUUACUUCUUCAUUCCUUGUUUUGUUACCAACUUCAGAGAUUUGUUGUUUACUUCCUUGUGUGCGUGCUUGCUUCCUUAAUUCUUUGUCUGAUUCUUUGUUUUACUCCUUUUAUUUCCCCAUUCCUUGUUACCAGCUUCAAUGGUUUGUUGUUUGUUGCUUCCUUGAUUCCUUGUUUACUUACUUCUUUGUUUCCUUGCUUCCUCAUUAGCUUCUUGCUUCCUUGCUUUCUUGCUUACAUGCUUAACUUGAUUCCUUGCUUACGUGCUUAAUUUCUCACAUACUGUCUUUUCCUUAACUACUUGAAUUUCUUUUCCUUAUUUUCUAACUUGCUUGCUUAUUUGCUCACGAACUGUCUCAGUUUAUCAAAUAUGUGUUUUAUUUGAGAUAGUUGUAGGACUAUUUCAAAGUCCUUCAGAGCAACCAAUCAGCUAAGUUAUAACUGUCUUAACUUGUCAGACCAAAGAAACUAAGCUAGACAAAGUUUAUUUGAUUCUCUCUUAUCUUUCAUUUUUAAGAUUCAAUGUGCAGUGCCAGAAGUUUCUAGAAUAUUUUCAUCUUGGAGUUAAACAUUACAUUCCGACAACAAUGAACUCCCACUUGCAAAUUUUAUGUUUGUUGAAGGUGUUGGUGGCUGAGACAAGCUCACGAAUCAUUAGAAAAUGUAGUACUCAUCGAUCUCUAUAAGAAAUGUGGAACUACAAAAGAGCAAGUUUAGCUAUUGAAGCAAAUUUUGGAUUAUAUCAGGGAGAGGCAUUCAAUGGAAAACCAACAAACACUACGAGAUCUCAUGGAAGGAAAUUUCAGGUCACGGUCGAGAAGGAAACAUCUAGGAUCUUGCUGAAGCUGUGUAUCGGUAAACUCAAGUGAUAGAGCCAGAUGCAAACAAGGCUUGUAAAAAGUUGGCAAAUAUAAAGUGCAUGGUCAAGUCUUACUAAAGUGGCUAGAAGGAAUGGAGAAAAAUCUUUUCAAAGGAAAGAGUCAAGUUGGUAUUAUAUUUGAGGCUUCGGUUGGAGAUGCUUAUCAAGAAAUGUGGCAUGAAGAUUGUCAACUCUGCAAAGCCUGUGGAACAGAUGAAACUCUUGAUAAACACGAAAGAUUAAGGAAGGUAAGGAGAAACUAUAUAUGCAGCUGGCUCUAACAUAAGUAGAUCGGAACAUUCAAAAGAAACUUCAUUAAAGACUAGUGGGUGGAAGAUAUUUUGGAUGAGGUCAACGAUGGAGACAGUAGGAUGCGAGUUGCGUGGCCAUACGCUUCCUCUUUUUCAAAAUAUAAUGCAUCGCUUUGAGAUUCAAGUAUAUUCAGAACCAGAGUCUUCUUGAAGUGGAUUAGUCAGACGAUGAACCACUUUGAACAAGUGAGAUCUCAUGGCAAGAAAUUUCAGGUCACGGUCGAGAAGAAAACCACUAGGAUUUUGGGAACUUUGGAUGGGCUUAUAUGCAACUAAAGGACUAUACAACAGCUAAAGACGUGUAUUUGAAAGCUACCAGAAGGAAUGUUGGCAAACAUAAAGUGCAUGGUCGAAGUCUUACUAAAGUUGUUGCAAGGAAUGGAUAACCUUUUCAAAGCAAAGAUUCAGGUUGGAGAUGCUUAUAACCUAAUAUGGUUUGUGAAGCCUAAAGAAACAUAUGAAACUUCUGAAAAACCCGAAAGAUCAAGGAACGUAAGAAGAAAAUAUAUGCAGCUGGCUCUAACAUAAAUAGAUCUCAACAUUUAAAAGAAACUUCAUCAAAGACUAGUUGGUGGAAGAUAUUUUGGAUGAGGAAAACGAGAAGACUAUAUGGAUGCGGAGUCGCAUGAUUCAAGUAUAUUCAGAACCAGAGUCUUCUUGAAGUGGACGAGUCAGACGAGGAACCACUUGACACAAAACAAGAUCAGCUCUUUGAACAAGUAAGGUUUGCAAAUGAGUUAGAUGAUGAACCUCUUUGAACAAAAGUUCGAUGUGGAAGGACUUCUAAUCAUCCGUGAAGGAUUUAUCUGAUAUAGAUUUGGAUGUCAGUAAUAACCAAGUUGUUCAGGGUUUCAGAUAUUGGCGUAAGAAGGCUGUCAAGUCCGUGAAGCCUAAGGAACAUAUAAAACUCCUGAAAAACUUAAAAGAUCAAAACUCAUGGUGACAAAAUAUGCAGCUGGCUUUGACAUAUAAAUCACAACAUUCCUAUGAAGUUUCUGAGUGCUAAAGUAUAGAUGAUGUUCUUGGAGGCCUUGAUUUGAUCUCUGGAGUUAUCUUCUAGUUUCUUAAGUUCAAUCAUUAUCCCAGAUUUCAUAGCCAAACGAACUUUGUGAACCAAAAGAAGCUAUGUGGUGAGUAAACAGGUAUAGACCAUUUACUUUAACAAUGCUGUCUUUCCUUUGACAGCGUGAUAUCCCAACACAUUGCAUGUAUGCAUCCACUCAUGUACACAUGCAUAUAUUCAUGUUUGCAUACAUAUAUACGCAUACAUUUAUACAUACAUGCAUAUAUUCAUGUGUGCAUACAUACAUACAUACAUACAUACAUACAUACAUACAUACAUACAUACAUACAUUCAUGUAUAUUUUGCUUCUCAGUUCAUUGUUUGCUUCUUUAUUUACAUUGUUAACUUGUUUUACUGGUUCUCUUCUAUGUUUAUUUUGCUUAUUUCAUUGCUUAACUUGGUUGCUUGUUUCUUUUACUGCUUGUUUACAUGCUUCCUGCUUUGUUCCUUUGAUCUUUGCUUACUCAAUUGCUUCAUUCAUUUCUUAACUUGCGUGCUGCUUUGAUUCUUUGAUUCCUUUUUUAUUUCACUGUUUGCUUACAUGCUUAACUUGUUUCCUUCAGUAAUUGUUUUGCUUAUCUAGUUCACUUCUUCCUUCUUUGUGUCUUUCAUUGCGACCAAUUCACAUAUUUUUAUGAUGAUUCGAUAGUCGCUUUUGUAUUCACAAGUGAUUUAUUAAAGUAUAGAAUCAAUUAAAGUUGGUUUAUGUCAACCUUGUAUUGGUUUAAUGUCUGAUUUACUCUCAUACUAUUUAAGAGACGAUAUUGUAAUCACUUUGGUUAAGAUAAUUAAUGAGAAUGAGUUUGUUGCUUUUA
Molecule: long non-coding RNA, 3170 nt
Organism: Arabidopsis lyrata subsp. lyrata
Lineage: Eukaryota; Viridiplantae; Streptophyta; Magnoliopsida; Brassicales; Brassicaceae
Exons: 17
Source: RefSeq, a predicted model, not a curated record